UACGGAGGAUGCGAGCGUUAUCCGGAUUUAUUGGGUUUAAAGGGUGCGCAGGCGGCACGGCAAGCCGGCGGUCAAAUCGCGGGGCUCAACCCCGCCCAGCCGUCGGAACUGCCGGGCUAGAGUGGGCGAGAAGUGCGCGGAAUGCGUGGUGUAGCGGUGAAAUGCAUAGAUAUCACGCAGAACUCCGAUUGCGAAGGCAGCGCACCGGCGCCCUACUGACGCUCAGGCACGAAAGCGUGGGUAUCGCACAGG
This 252-nucleotide ribosomal RNA is filed under the name uncultured bacterium. RNAcentral's name for it is "partial 16S ribosomal RNA". It matches the Rfam family "Bacterial small subunit ribosomal RNA", at positions 524 to 776 of the family's 1533-position model. The record is from RNAcentral.